AAAUUGAAGAGUUUGAUCAUGGCUCAGAUUGAACGCUGGCGGCAGGCCUAACACAUGCAAGUCGAGCGGAAACGACAACAUUGAAUCUUCGGAGGAUUUGUUGGGCGUCGAGCGGCGGACGGGUGAGUAAUGCCUAGGAAAUUGCCUUGAUGUGGGGGAUAACCAUUGGAAACGAUGGCUAAUACCGCAUAAUGCCUACGGGCCAAAGAGGGGGAYCUUCGGRCCUCUCGCGUCAAGAUAUGCCUAGGUGGGAUUAGCUAGUUGGUGAGGUAAUGGCUCACCAAGGCGACGAUCCCUAGCUGGUCUGAGAGGAUGAUCAGCCACACUGGAACUGAGACACGGUCCAGACUCCUACGGGAGGCAGCAGUGGGGAAUAUUGCACAAUGGGCGAAAGCCUGAUGCAGCCAUGCCGCGUGUAUGAAGAAGGCCUUCGGGUUGUAAAGUACUUUCAGUUGUGAGGAAGGGUGUGUAGUUAAUAGCUGCRYAUCUUGACGUUAGCAACAGAAGAAGCACCGGCUAACUCCGUGCCAGCAGCCGCGGUAAUACGGAGGGUGCGAGCGUUAAUCGGAAUUACUGGGCGUAAAGCGCAUGCAGGUGGUUCAUUAAGUCAGAUGUGAAAGCCCGGGGCUCAACCUCGGAACUGCAUUUGAAACUGGUGAACUAGAGUGCUGUAGAGGGGGGUAGAAUUUCAGGUGUAGCGGUGAAAUGCGUAGAGAUCUGAAGGAAUACCAGUGGCGAAGGCGGCCCCCUGGACAGACA
Molecule: ribosomal RNA, 759 nt
Filed under: Vibrio tasmaniensis
Lineage: Bacteria; Pseudomonadati; Pseudomonadota; Gammaproteobacteria; Vibrionales; Vibrionaceae
Description: bacterial SSU rRNA
Rfam family: Bacterial small subunit ribosomal RNA
Source: RNAcentral